UAUUGGUCCUCUCGCAACGAUAGGUUGUGAACUCCGCCAGGCCCGGAAGGGAGCAACGGUAGCAAUUGACUCGUGUGCCGGGAUGUGGCUGAUAGGA
RNAcentral lists this signal recognition particle RNA (97 nucleotides) under Aliikangiella coralliicola. RNAcentral's name for it is "Bacterial small signal recognition particle RNA". It matches the Rfam family "Bacterial small signal recognition particle RNA". Rfam says of the family: The signal recognition particle (SRP) is a universally conserved ribonucleoprotein involved in the co-translational targeting of proteins to membranes. The record is from Rfam by way of RNAcentral. Lineage: Bacteria; Pseudomonadati; Pseudomonadota; Gammaproteobacteria; Oceanospirillales; Pleioneaceae.